CCCAGCUCUUUCAGCCUAUCUUCAUAGGAGAGGUCCUCCAUCCCUCUGAUCAUCUUUGUGGCCCUCUGCUGGACUUGUUCCAAUAGAUCCAUGUCCUUCUUGUGCUGAGGACUACAAAGUUGGAGGGAGUACUCCAGGUGGAGUCUCGUGAGAGCAGAGUAGAGGGGCAGAAUCACCUCCCUGGACCUGCUGACCGCCCUUUUUUUCAUACAUCCCAGGAUGCAGUUGGCUUUCUGGGCUGCCAGCGAACAUUGCCGACUCAUGUUGAGCUUUUCAUCCAUGAACACUCCCAAGUCCUUCUCCUCAGGGCUGCUCUCCAGCCAUUCUCCACCCAACCUGUAUUUGUGCCUGGGAUUGCUAUGAAUCUUCAACUCCUCUAGGCAUCUGGUUAUUUUGCUCUAUUUUAAAUGUCUAAAUUUGGUCUCUUAAUGUGAAAGCUCAGUGUCUUCUGUUGUGUGGUAUGGACAUAUCCAGACCUGACAGUAAACUUAAAGAUUAUAUGGCCAUAAGGAACUAUUCUGCCCAGUGGGCAAUAGCUGAAAGACAUGCUAGAUGGCAGAACAGAAAUGCUUCUAGGUGAUAAAAUAUUUUGACAUGUUAUUAUAAGGAUCAUGCAUGGUGUUUCAGCUGGUAUUUUAAAGCAAUACUUUAUUUUUUUAAAAUCCAUGUAGUCUGUAUAUAUGUGUACUUUGCAGAUAAAUCCAAAGUGUUUCCAGCUUUGGGUUUGCCAACAUAGGUGCAUCGAUGCAUAAGGAAUUGAAUUUCUUUUUCUUUAGGAAAUGAUGUCAGAUAUGGAUGCCCACACGUUAGAAAAAUGCAUUGCUGAAGAAGGCCGGCUUUUCAAAGAGCAGGAAAAAUGCAGACAUGAGUUAUCCAGGCUUGCACAUCUGGCUUGGCUCAAAGCUGAAGAGAGGGAACGGAAAUCUAGGGAUGUUCAGAAAGCCCAGAACACUGCAGAAACAACAUCUGAAGAAUGCAAAUAAUGUAGCAAUUACAGACAGUCUCAAAAGUGAUUAUCGCAAAAUCGUACAGAUCAUGCAGGAGAUGAAAGAAAAGAAAAUGCAACAGUGUUUGGCUCUUGAGAGGCUUACCAGCAUGGUCACCCACGCUGAAGAGGAAAUGGUGCAGCUACGCAAACAGUACAAAAGGGCUAUACAGCAACAAAAUGAGAGGUAUAAAUGUAAAUUUGAUGUAAUAUAGUGUUUAAUUUUGACAUUCAGGAAUCAAAAAUAUUUUUCAACUUACGAGCACUCUAAAUUAGGAGU
Molecule: long non-coding RNA, 1265 nt
Organism: Calidris pygmaea (Spoon-billed sandpiper)
Lineage: Eukaryota; Metazoa; Chordata; Aves; Charadriiformes; Scolopacidae
Source: Ensembl